CCCUUAGAUGUUCUGGGCCGCACGCGUGCUACACUGAGUGGAUCAGCGGGUCAGGUUGCGCGAAAGUGUUUCCUAAUCUUUAAAUCCGCUCGUGAUGGGGAUUGACGGUUGCAAUUUUCCGUCAUGAACGAGGAAUACCUUGUAAGCGCGGGUCAUCAUCCCGCGCUGAAUACGUCCCUGCCCUUUGUACACACCACCCGUCGCUCCUACCGAUUGAGUGGUCCGGUGAGGCUUUGGGAUCUGAGCGGAAAGAGCGUUUCGCUGUUUCUGCCCGGAAAACUCAGUCGAACCUUAUCAUUUAGAGGAAGGAGAAGUCGUAACA
RNAcentral lists this ribosomal RNA (322 nucleotides) under uncultured eukaryote. RNAcentral describes it as "partial 18S ribosomal RNA". It matches the Rfam family "Eukaryotic small subunit ribosomal RNA", at positions 1470 to 1796 of the family's 1831-position model. The record is from RNAcentral.